GACGAACGCUGGCGGCGUGCCUAAUACAUGCAAGUUGAGCGAUGAAGCUUGGUGCUUGCACCAAUUUGAAGAGCAGCGAACGGGUGAGUAACGCGUGGGGAAUCUGCCUUUGAGCGGGGGACAACAUUUGGAAACGAAUGCUAAUACCGCAUAAUAACUUUAAACAUAAGUUUUAAGUUUGAAAGAUGCAAUUGCAUCACUCAAAGAUGAUCCCGCGUUGUAUUAGCUAGUUGGUGAGGUAAAGGCUCACCAAGGCGAUGAUACAUAGCCGACCUGAGAGGGUGAUCGGCCACAUUGGGACUGAGACACGGCCCAAACUCCUACGGGAGGCAGCAGUAGGGCAUCUUCGGCAAUGGACGAAAGUCUGACCGAGCAACGCCGCGUGAGUGAAGAAGGUUUUCGGAUCGUAAAACUCUGUUGGUAGAGAAGAACGUUGGUGAGAGUGGAAAGCUCAUCAAGUGACGGUAACUACCCAGAAAGGGACGGCUAACUACGUG
This 497-nucleotide ribosomal RNA is filed under the name uncultured bacterium. RNAcentral's name for it is "partial 16S ribosomal RNA". It matches the Rfam family "Bacterial small subunit ribosomal RNA", at positions 28 to 507 of the family's 1533-position model. The record is from RNAcentral.